AUAAAAGCGAGUUCCUUUAAGGAAGAAGCAGAGAGAGGAAAGUUUGCUGUGAGCUGCUGAAAAACAACAGAACAACGAGACAAAGAAGGGCUGCUUCUUGUGUGUUCGAGGCUACGUUGUUUUAUUCUGAACAAUUUCGAAGAAAGACGGUUCUGUGUGUUCAAAGAAUGCUUUUGCGAGUAGUUUGAGUUUGUGUGGGGUGGCGGUUCGCCGAAUUAUGUCCUCUAAUUAUCUUAAAGAGUGGAGGAGGAAACGGAGUAGAGUGGAAGCUCAGGUUUUGGGUCUUCAAUCCUUGUGGAAUUAAAGAGCCUCAAUGCAAAAAAUGAAUGUGGACCCAACCGGUGUAACCCAGUCUAUAAUGGGUGGUGCCCAAUUGCCAUUGAGCAAUCUGCCAGCGAUGAAGAAUUGCCACAGGAGGAUCUUGAACCUCAGGUUUUGGGUUAUUCUUCGACAGCUGGGAGGGUAUACAAGUACCCCAUGCCAGAGAAAAGGAUGAGAAUUUUCUGUGGAUCCGCGGAUUUCCGUGUUUUUUCCCGUCGGAAGUAUCAU
This is a long non-coding RNA of Syngnathus acus (greater pipefish), 549 nucleotides long. RefSeq lists it as uncharacterized. Lineage: Eukaryota; Metazoa; Chordata; Actinopteri; Syngnathiformes; Syngnathidae. The transcript has 4 exons. The record is from RefSeq and is a predicted model, not a curated record.